This 119-nucleotide ribosomal RNA is filed under the name Neogobius melanostomus (round goby). The record is from RNAcentral. Lineage: Eukaryota; Metazoa; Chordata; Actinopteri; Gobiiformes; Gobiidae.
ACCCAAGGUCAUACCGCCUUUGCUGUGCCUGAUCCCAUCAGAUCUCGGAAGCUAAGCAGGGAAGGGCUUGGCUGGUACUUGGAUGGAAGACCGUUUGGGAACACCAGGAAGCCUGAGUG